GGGUUGUGAGGUUAAGCGACUAAGCGUACACGGUGGAUGCCCUGGCAGUCAGAGGCGAUGAAGGACGUGCUAAUCUGCGAUAAGCGUCGGUAAGGUGAUAUGAACCGUUAUAACCGGCGAUUUCCGAAUGGGGAAACCCAGUGUGAUUCGUCACACUAUCAUUAACUGAAUCCAUAGGUUAAUGAGGCGAACCGGGGGAACUGAAACAUCUAAGUACCCCGAGGAAAAGAAAUCAACCGAGAUUCCCCCAGUAGCGGCGAGCGAACGGGGAGGAGCCCAGAGCCUGAAUCAGUGUGUGUGUUAGUGGAAGCGUCUGGAAAGGCGCGCGAUACAGGGUGACAGCCCCGUACACAAAAAUGCACAUGCUGUGAGCUCGAUGAGUAGGGCGGGACACGUGGUAUCCUGUCUGAAUAUGGGGGGACCAUCCUCCAAGGCUAAAUACUCCUGACUGACCGAUAGUGAACCAGUACCGUGAGGGAAAGGCGAAAAGAACCCCGGCGAGGGGAGUGAAAAAGAACCUGAAACCGUGUACGUACAAGCAGUGGGAGCACAGAGCAAUCUGUGUGACUGCGUACCUUUUGUAUAAUGGGUCAGCGACUUAUAUUCUGUAGCAAGGUUAACCGAAUAGGGGAGCCGAAGGGAAACCGAGUCUUAACUGGGCGUUAAGUUGCAGGGUAUAGACCCGAAACCCGGUGAUCUAGCCAUGGGCAGGUUGAAGGUUGGGUAACACUAACUGGAGGACCGAACCGACUAAUGUUGAAAAAUUAGCGGAUGACUUGUGGCUGGGGGUGAAAGGCCAAUCAAACCGGGAGAUAGCUGGUUCUCCCCGAAAGCUAUUUAGGUAGCGCCUCGUGAAUUCAUCUCCGGGGGUAGAGCACUGUUUCGGCAAGGGGGUCAUCCCGACUUACCAACCCGAUGCAAACUGCGAAUACCGGAGAAUGUUAUCACGGGAGACACACGGCGGGUGCUAACGUCCGUCGUGAAGAGGGAAACAACCCAGACCGCCAGCUAAGGUCCCAAAGUCAUGGUUAAGUGGGAAACGAUGUGGGAAGGCCCAGACAGCCAGGAUGUUGGCUUAGAAGCAGCCAUCAUUUAAAGAAAGCGUAAUAGCUCACUGGUCGAGUCGGCCUGCGCGGAAGAUGUAACGGGGCUAAACCAUGCACCGAAGCUGCGGCAGCGACGCUUAUGCGUUGUUGGGUAGGGGAGCGUUCUGUAAGCCUGCGAAGGUGUGCUGUGAGGCAUGCUGGAGGUAUCAGAAGUGCGAAUGCUGACAUAAGUAACGAUAAAGCGGGUGAAAAGCCCGCUCGCCGGAAGACCAAGGGUUCCUGUCCAACGUUAAUCGGGGCAGGGUGAGUCGACCCCUAAGGCGAGGCCGAAA
Molecule: ribosomal RNA, 1378 nt
Filed under: Escherichia coli
Lineage: Bacteria; Pseudomonadati; Pseudomonadota; Gammaproteobacteria; Enterobacterales; Enterobacteriaceae
Description: partial 23S ribosomal RNA
Rfam family: Bacterial large subunit ribosomal RNA
Source: RNAcentral